UACGUAGGGAGCAAGCGUUGUCCGGAAUCAUUGGGCGUAAAGCGCGCGUAGGUGGCUUCGUAAGUCCGUUGUGAAAGUCAAAGGCUCAACCUUUGAAAGCCGAUGGAUACUGCGGAGCUAGAGUACGGAAGAGGCGAGUGGAAUUCCUGGUGUAGCGGUGGAAUGCGCAGAUAUCAGGAGGAACACCAAUAGCGAAGGCAGCUCGCUGGGACGUUACUGACACUGAGGCGCGAAAGCGUGGGGAGCGAACA
This 251-nucleotide ribosomal RNA is filed under the name uncultured bacterium. RNAcentral's name for it is "partial 16S ribosomal RNA". It matches the Rfam family "Bacterial small subunit ribosomal RNA", at positions 524 to 774 of the family's 1533-position model. The record is from RNAcentral.